Molecule: ribosomal RNA, 292 nt
Filed under: uncultured bacterium
Lineage: Bacteria
Description: partial 16S ribosomal RNA
Rfam family: Bacterial small subunit ribosomal RNA
Source: RNAcentral
GUGCCAGCCGCCGCGGUAAUACGGAGGGUGCAAGCGUUAAUCGGAAUUACUGGGCGUAAAGCGUGCGUAGGCGGUUAUUUAAGUCAGAUGUGAAAGCCCCGGGCUUAACCUGGGAACUGCAUUUGAUACUGGGUAACUAGAGUUUAAUAGAGGAGAGUGGAAUUUCAGGUGUAGCGGUGAAAUGCGUAGAGAUCUGAAGGAACACCAGUGGCGAAGGCGACUCUCUGGAUUAAAACUGACGCUGAGGUACGAAAGCGUGGGUAGCAAACAGGAUUAGAUACCCUUGUAGUCC